UACUCCCAAGCCUUUCCUGACGUCCACUGAGCGAGGGCUAUAUAUAUAUAUGUAUGUAGUUUGUUUGUUUGUACUAUUCUUAUAACAAAUGUAAAGCACUUUGGCCAACGAGAGUUGUUUUUUAAAUGUACUAUAUAAAUAAAUGUGACUUGACUUGACUAAUCUAACGCCAUUCUUAACACCAUUUUUUUGUUUCUGGCUUUUCCAGAUGAACGAAUUUGUAGGGGCCCGUAGAGCGAACAUGGUGACAAGAGGCUCUGCAAACUAGUGUGGACUGCGCGGGUAACAACUAAUGUAGCGUUCAUCUCACCCGUACGUGGACUUCCCGACAGAUGUACCCGAUCCAAUCUUCCUUCAAGCAGUUGCCUUUGGUUUUCUUGACCAAGUCAGUGACAGAACCUGCUCCACAGAACUCCAUUACCAGCUGGAAUUAAAGGUCAAAAGAAAAGCGUUAAGACGCAGACAGUACAAAAAACAGGCCUUUCAGCCAAACCCGACCAAGCAGACCAAGAUCACCCAUCAGAACUCUGCCAAAACGAUACACGAAGCGCUACAAUUUUUGGCCCACCUUACUCACCAUUGUCCUGAGAUGUAAAGGAGACACGUUUCGUUCUGAUUGAUAUUAUAUUUUACAAGCUAUUGACAUUUUGAAUUUCACAAAAGCCACUUUUCAACACUUUUCCACUUGCCCUGUCCAUCAUCACGUCACAAUUGACGUCACAACGGGAUCCCGAAUCUCAUUUACAUUUAAAAAAAUCACGAUUUAAAAAAAACCUCAGUUUUAA
Leucoraja erinaceus (little skate) is the source of this 785-nucleotide long non-coding RNA. RefSeq lists it as uncharacterized. The transcript is spliced from 3 exons. Lineage: Eukaryota; Metazoa; Chordata; Chondrichthyes; Rajiformes; Rajidae. The record is from RefSeq and is a predicted model, not a curated record.